Molecule: ribosomal RNA, 452 nt
Filed under: uncultured Alphaproteobacteria bacterium
Lineage: Bacteria; Pseudomonadati; Pseudomonadota; Alphaproteobacteria
Description: bacterial SSU rRNA
Rfam family: Bacterial small subunit ribosomal RNA
Source: RNAcentral
GUCGAGCGCGCCUUCGGGUGAGCGGCGGACGGGUUAGUAACGCGUGGGAACGUGCCCUUCUCUACGGAAUAGCCUCUGGAAACGGAGAGUAAUACCGUAUACGCCCUUUGGGGGAAAGAUUUAUCGGAGAAGGAUCGGCCCGCGUUAGAUUAGGUAGUUGGUGGGGUAACGGCCUACCAAGCCUACGAUCUAUAGCUGGUUUUAGAGGAUGAUCAGCAACACUGGGACUGAGACACGGCCCAGACUCCUACGGGAGGCAGCAGUGGGGAAUCUUAGACAAUGGGGGCAACCCUGAUCUAGCCAUGCCGCGUGAGUGAUGAAGGCCUUAGGGUCGUAAAGCUCUUUCGCCUGUGAUGAUAAUGACAGUAGCAGGUAAAGAAACCCCGGCUAACUCCGUGCCAGCAGCCGCGGUAAUACGGAGGGGGUUAGCGUCGUUCGGAAUUACUGGGCGU